This 67-nucleotide transfer RNA is filed under the name Marmota monax (woodchuck). Its description in RNAcentral is "tRNA.Ala". Lineage: Eukaryota; Metazoa; Chordata; Mammalia; Rodentia; Sciuridae. The record is from RNAcentral.
GGUUGUGGCUCAGUGGUAGAGUACUCGCCUAGCACGUGCAAGGCCCUGGGUUUGAUCCUCAGCACCA